AGUGAACGCUGGCGGUAGACCUAACACAUGCAAGUCGAACGGCAGCACAGUAAGAGCUUGCUCUUACGGGUGGCGAGUGGCGGACGGGUGAGGAAUACAUCGGAAUCUACUUUUUCGUGGGGGAUAACGUAGGGAAACUUACGCUAAUACCGCAUACGACCUACGGGUGAAAGCAGGGGAUCUUCGGACCUUGCGCGAUUGAAUGAGCCGAUGUCGGAUUAGCUAGUUGGCGGGGUAAAGGCCCACCAAGGCGACGAUCCGUAGCUGGUCUGAGAGGAUGAUCAGCCACACUGGAACUGAGACACGGUCCAGACUCCUACGGGAGGCAGCAGUGGGGAAUAUUGGACAAUGGGCGCAAGCCUGAUCCAGCCAUACCGCGUGGGUGAAGAAGGCCUUUGGGUUGUAAAGCCCUUUUGUUUGGAAAGAAAAGCAGCAGGUUAAUACCCCGCUGUUCUGACGGUACCCAAAGAAUAAGCACCGGCUAACUUCGUG
Molecule: ribosomal RNA, 492 nt
Filed under: uncultured bacterium
Lineage: Bacteria
Description: partial 16S ribosomal RNA
Rfam family: Bacterial small subunit ribosomal RNA
Source: RNAcentral